AUUGAACGCUGGCGGCAGGCCUAACACAUGCAAGUCGAGCGGAUGAAGGGAGCUUGCUCCUGGAUUCAGCGGCGGACGGGUGAGUAAUGCCUAGGAAUCUGCCUGGUAGUGGGGGAUAACGUCCGGAAACGGGCGCUAAUACCGCAUACGUCCUGAGGGAGAAAGUGGGGGAUCUUCGGACCUCACGCUAUCAGAUGAGCCUAGGUCGGAUUAGCUAGUUGGUGGGGUAAAGGCCUACCAAGGCGACGAUCCGUAACUGGUCUGAGAGGAUGAUCAGUCACACUGGAAGUGAGACACGUUCCAGACUCCUACGGGAGGCAGCAGUGGGGAAUAUUGGACAAUGGACGAAAGGCUGAUCCAGCCAUGCCGCGUGUGUGAAGAAGGUCUUCGGAUUGUAAAGCACUUUAAGUUGGGAGGAAGGGCAGUAAGUUAAUACCUUGCUGUUUUGACGUUACCAACAGAAUAAGCACCGGCUAACUUCGUG
This 484-nucleotide ribosomal RNA is filed under the name uncultured bacterium. RNAcentral's name for it is "partial 16S ribosomal RNA". It matches the Rfam family "Bacterial small subunit ribosomal RNA", at positions 30 to 507 of the family's 1533-position model. The record is from RNAcentral.